CUGCCUGGGUUUGGACUGCUGGACCACAAGCAAGUAUUGAAGGCGAGAUGUUUACGCGGAAGGUGGCAGGAUCCAGACGACCGAAGCCGGCGAUGGACCAAUGAACUCCAACCGUGGACAGCAGAUGAAUGGGACAGGUUCAUUUCCAACAGCUACAGCUUUUGAUCUUGUUGAUUUCUGAAGAAAAAGAGCAAGAAAACUGUCCCGAAACAACUACCAGAAAUAUUCAUCCUUUCCCAGCCAUUCUGCAAUCCUUAUUCUAGUCAAUAGCAGGGUCAUUAAAAUUCUCCAUGAUCACUGUGCUAGGUUCUUUAUGAACCUGCAUAAACAUUUCGCACAUUCACUGCCCUCCUUCUCCACCCUGAAGGUCUGUUACAAUCUCCUGUUAUCUUUUUCUAUCAUUUUUAUUUUCCCCCUUGAGUUCUCCUUAUUAGAGCAGCCAAGUCUGCUUAAUCAUUUCUUAUUUUAGACCUACUCCCUGAUUCAUACAUUUCUAUAACUCCUCCUGUCCUAUUGGCUCUUUUCUUUUUCAUAGCCUUUACUUUACAGCAGAGAAAAGUGGCAGGAUUCAUUAGGAAAAUCUGAAUAUGUAUCCAGCACUGCAGAGUGGUGUAUUUUCCAUGCAAUGGUUUCCAUCCAAUAACUACAAAUCCUAAAAAUUACAGCAGUGAAGAUAAUAAACCUAUUGUCACUCUUACAUCCCAAAUAUGUUUAAAGACAUCCAAUAAACUGAACACAACUUCUUUUAUGUUCUAAAAUAAACAUUGGACCAGAACAUGAGCCCCUUACCCGCACUGAAGAGCAGUU
Long non-coding RNA from Chelonia mydas (Green sea turtle), 807 nucleotides. RefSeq lists it as uncharacterized. The transcript is spliced from 3 exons. The record is from RefSeq and is a predicted model, not a curated record. NCBI's taxonomy places the organism in Eukaryota, Metazoa, Chordata, Testudines, Cheloniidae.